Saccostrea cuccullata (small rock oyster) is the source of this 599-nucleotide long non-coding RNA. RefSeq lists it as uncharacterized. The transcript has 3 exons. The record is from RefSeq and is a predicted model, not a curated record. Lineage: Eukaryota; Metazoa; Mollusca; Bivalvia; Ostreida; Ostreidae.
UUGCCUUCCACAAGCCGACAUGGCAAAGCUCUAGUCACCAUGAAACGGUUGGUUCAGAAAAGGCUGUUGAUGGUUUGUACGAUGAUAGAUCAUAUGCAGGAAAACAGUGCAGCGUUUCAGAUGGGGCGAUAACGCAACGUGGUGGGUGAAUCUGACUGAAAUCCAAAGCAUACAUCACAUUACGAUUUACUACAGGACAGACAAAAUCAAAUGGGAUGCAAACAAUCCAUACACCAUUAGAUUUCGUGGGUUUUCCUUGUACAUAUCCAAUUCAACAGAAAUUAAUGAGGGUGAAUUGUGCUUUCGUGACACACAAUUUACAAAUUUUACAAUACCAGAAAUUUUCAACACAACAUGUACAAAACACGGACAGUUUGUCAUCUACUAUAACUUUCGACCACAGAAUAAUCAAACAUUAAGAGGACUAUCGGGUAAAGCAUUCAGUGAACUCUGCGAGGUCGAAGUAUAUGGUUGCAAUGAAACAGGCUUUUACGGACCAGAUUGUUCUGAAUACUGUCCUGACAGAAACUGUCGCCACUGCCACAUAGAAACAGGAGAUUGUCAAGGAUGUUACCCUGGAUAUCAAGGAUAUCGAUGCA